Molecule: ribosomal RNA, 415 nt
Filed under: Staphylococcus aureus
Lineage: Bacteria; Bacillati; Bacillota; Bacilli; Caryophanales; Staphylococcaceae
Description: partial 23S ribosomal RNA
Rfam family: Bacterial large subunit ribosomal RNA
Source: RNAcentral
AAAUUCCAAUCGAACCUGGAGAUAGCUGGUUCUCUCCGAAAUAGCUUUAGGGCUAGCCUCAAGUGAUGAUUAUUGGAGGUAGAGCACUGUUUGGACGAGGGGCCCCUCUCGGGUUACCGAAUUCAGACAAACUCCGAAUGCCAAUUAAUUUAACUUGGGAGUCAGAACAUGGGUGAUAAGGUCCGUGUUCGAAAGGGAAACAGCCCAGACCACCAGCUAAGGUCCCAAAAUAUAUGUUAAGUGGAAAAGGAUGUGGCGUUGCCCAGACAACUAGGAUGUUGGCUUAGAAGCAGCCAUCAUUUAAAGAGUGCGUAAUAGCUCACUAGUCGAGUGACACUGCGCCGAAAAUGUACCGGGGCUAAACAUAUUACCGAAGCUGUGGAUUGUCCUUUGGACAAUGGUAGGAGAGCGUUCU